Long non-coding RNA from Ailuropoda melanoleuca (giant panda), 2771 nucleotides. RefSeq lists it as uncharacterized. NCBI's taxonomy places the organism in Eukaryota, Metazoa, Chordata, Mammalia, Carnivora, Ursidae. The record is from RefSeq and is a predicted model, not a curated record. The transcript is spliced from 5 exons.
CCCCUGCCUAUCUACCCUGACCUGUGUGACCCAAUUUUCUGAGCCCUGUAGCUUCUUAGAAGAGGCCUCCCCCGCAGACUGGUGGUGACCCUUUUCAGGGCCUAGGGGAAGGGAUGAAGGUUAAGGGAGGAGAGUGUGGAAGCUCCACCCAGGGGCCUUGUGGGGGGCCAAGCCCACCUUUUCCAGCUCUGCCACUCUGAGCACCUUCUGCCCAGAAUCCCACCCUGGAAGCCUUCUCAUCGUUCCAGCUUGAAAAAGUUGGCGGGCGGGACGGAAAACGCGGCCUGGAUCGCGCCGGGACGGCCGCAGCCGCUCGCAGGCGCCCCGCGGUAGCCAAAAAUGGAAGGAAGCACAUCUGCAACGCAUUUACGUGAUGUUCACCUUUGAGACCGCGCGGCUGGAUGGAGGCGCAUUGCUUUUUCCUGUACACCUCACCUUUAACGUGACCAUGACCAGAGGCGGUGUCUGAGAGAUUGCUCGACCCUCUUCAGCGCUGAGUUUUUUCCUAGAGCUCAGUCUGGUGGUCUUACAAAAUGGAAUCUCCGAGGCAUGCGGCUACAGCAAACAUUGAGGAGAGAUUGUCUUUUGUUCCGUCUCGGGGUCUUACCAAGUGCGUCCGCUGCUCCAGACAUGUCUUCCCCAGACGCAAGGCUGUUCAUGGUAUUUGAGUGUCUGUUUCAGCGUCACGGCGCUUGGAAAUGUCACAUUCGUGAUUGUUUUUCCAAUCACCAAGUGAAUCUGAGUGGGACUCUCUCUAUUCUUCUGACGACUACCUUUCAGCUCAAGUUAUGGUUUUAUAAAUAAUAUAUAUGGCAAGUCAGUGCUGGGGAAAGGACGUUCAUUCUGCUCUGAAAUAUUUAUGGCCUGGAGUGUCUGCUUACUUUUCUUUGGAGUCAUUUUUUCAGCACGGCGUGCCAGAAAGCACGACAGCCCAGGACAUCUUCAGAGGCAGCCGCGCGGAUGGCCCUUCCAGCCAGGCUGCGGGGCCUAUCCAUCCUGCGGCCGACAGGGGAAGUGUCAGCUCGGCCCGGAGAGCGCUCCCGAGCCCAGACCUCCUAAAUUAUCUCAGGGAAGGCUCUGCUCCAGUGACAAGAAUCAGCACCACUGCCUUCGAAACAGACGUUGCUUUCCAGCGUGCGGUUUGAAUUAUCACAGACACUACAUCAGGCUUAUGCUCGGAUACACUCUUGAAGCCUUGGGCCUCUCCUCGGAGGUGUGCGUUUUCACCCUUAUGUUCCACGUGGGAAAACAGAGGCUCGGCAAGGUUAAGGAAUUUCUCAAGGUCAAUGCCACCAUCAAGUAGGAGCCUGGAUUUUCACCCAGCCGGGCUGACUCCUUAUCGCCAUCUUUUCUCCUCAUACCAAGCUGCUGCCCUGCCUGGCCCAUCGCUCAGCUGCAGCUGGGGGCCAGCGAAUGGAUUGUAGAUCACUUUCAGCGGCUGCGUGCGCCUGUCUGCAGUGAUUUGAAAUGCUAGGGGCCUUGGAUCUGGGAAUAACAAUCUGCACUGAACAGCCGGGCUUGAAUCCCAAUCCUAAGGCCUGGAUGCAUUCCUACACGUGCUGAAGUGGGGCAGAUGCUUCUAGAAAGGCCCAUAGACUCAUCAUGUCUGACUUCCCAUGUUACAGGUGGGAGAUGAAGAGCCUGGCAGGGAUAUGGAUUUGCCCAAGGCCACAGAGACCAUUGGAGCCCAUUGGUCACAACGGUGGCUCUUGGAGUCCAGUCAUCUGGUCAACCUUGUCUCCCUCCCAUUACCCUUCCUCUUCCAAAGCUCGAUCAGCAUCGCUCAGUAGAUGAAUAUAGAGCUAUGUACUCCCUGGGGCUGGCUGAAAAUCCACGAAUGAGUCAAAUGAUUUUGAGACUGUGCUUGGGUAGAAAACCUUGCCGGGCAUUGCUAAACUAGUUGGACUAUGGAGUGAGCUGUAGUUAAUUCAUUAGAAAUAAUCAGUGAUCAAACUGAGUAGUGAGACCGGGAAGAUCUCACACUGUUUCUCCACCUGGAAGGACAAUUGCCUAUAGGAAAAAGAUGCUUAUAUUCCUGCUAGUUGGUGACUCUAGGCACCCCAAGGGCAGGGCUGGCACGCUGUCAUAACUGGGGCAGGUAACAGAGCAUAGUUAUAAAAUCAAUCGGGGACAACAUUUCUGAAAAAGUCCGGCUCAGCCCUGAGCCAGAGGGAACUGUUGGGCUGUUCUGCCUUUGGCCUGGUUCUCCCAUGCUGCCCCUGCUGUAGGAAACCCCCUGUGGUAGAUAGUCUUCGAAGAUGACCCCCACAGUGAGUCCCCCUCCUGGUGUUUACGCCUUCCUACUGCCCUCUCCCCUGAAUAUGGGCUGGCCCUGUAUGCGUCAAUAGAAUGUACUGGACACGACCGAGUGACUUCCACGGCCACAUGAGAAGAUCCCACUCUGAGAUGAGUCCUCCACAUCAGCUAAGAAGCCACCACCAAGAGCAUGUGCAGAUAUGGUAGAAAGCCAGGGCCUGUAGAAGGAGGGUCUCCCUGCCCUUCCCUCUGGACAGCCGGCCCUCACCUGGAGUUAUGCUUAGACCUCACCUCUGCCCUUGGUUUCUGGCCAUCUCCUAAAACGUGUGGCCAGGAGGCCCCAGAGUAUCCCUGGGGGCCCCACAAUGGGAAGGAGCAGGGCUAUGCAAACAGCUAACUGUUUGGUACAAGAUGAGCACAAAAAUUAAGCAUGUCUAGACACCGGGAUCGAAAUUUGACAUUGCCAUGACAGCCAAGCUUUGAUCCACGCACUUGUCUCUUCAAAUAGGAAAUAG